This 292-nucleotide ribosomal RNA is filed under the name uncultured bacterium. Its description in RNAcentral is "partial 16S ribosomal RNA". It matches the Rfam family "Bacterial small subunit ribosomal RNA", at positions 505 to 796 of the family's 1533-position model. The record is from RNAcentral.
GUGUCAGCCGCCGCGGUAAUACAGAGGGUGCUAACGUUGUUCGGAAUCACUGGGCAUAAAGCGCACGUAGGCGGCCCGUCAAGUGCGGUGUGAAAUCCCACGGCUUACCCGUGGAAAUGCGCUGCAGACUGACGGGCUCGAGGACGGUAGGGGAGAGCGGAACUCCUGGUGGAGCGGUGAAAUGCGUAGAUAUCAGGAGGAACACCGGUGGCGAAGGCGGCUCUCUGGUCCGUUUCUGACGCUGAGGUGCGAAAGCCAGGGGAGCAAACGGGAUUAGAAACCCGAGUAGUCC